AAAUGGGAAAGUGCUGUACGGCUAGCUCCCUUCGAAUCCUCCAGGGCUUGACCGCAGCAAAGGUAGUUGGUUGUAGCAGCGCGAUGCAGAGAGCUUUCCCACC
This 103-nucleotide signal recognition particle RNA is filed under the name bovine gut metagenome. Its description in RNAcentral is "Bacteroidales small SRP". It matches the Rfam family "Bacteroidales small SRP". Rfam says of the family: The non-coding component of the signal recognition particle in Bacteroides The record is from RNAcentral.